This 36630-nucleotide long non-coding RNA is filed under the name Medicago truncatula (barrel medic). Its description in RNAcentral is "long non-coding RNA (MTRU_LNC004291)". Lineage: Eukaryota; Viridiplantae; Streptophyta; Magnoliopsida; Fabales; Fabaceae. The record is from RNAcentral.
UUCCAACUAAAAAUUAAGUCUAAUUUUUAGUCAUUAAAUAUACCUUGCAAGUUUUUAUUUUUUAUGUUUUCAAUACUCUAUAUUAAUAUUAUGCAGUAGUUUUACUAUAGUAUAAGUUAUGAUAUGUUUAAAUAUAUGACUUUUUACCUUUUGUUUCAAAUAGUGAUGUCUAAAGACAAUACACCUGACAUUGUCUCCAUGACUUUAGAACUUGGAGCAGCACACUAUAUUGUUAACGCAUUUUGUACUAAAAUAUUUAGAGACAUUUGGAAGUAUGCAUUGGAAGCAAAGAAAAAUAAACUAUUUAUUGAUAGUUUAUCUGCAGCAAUUGAAAAACAAGAGACAUCAACUGAUAUACUACAAACAAAAAAGAAAUGUAGUAAAAAAAAGAGUUGUGAUUAUAGCCAAGAUGAAGGGGAGUUUGAAAUUAGUACGAAAUAUAGUAAAAUUAUCACAACUCCUCUUCAUAACAACUCCAAACUCCCAUUCACCUUGGUGAUUACCAAAACUCUUUCUUUUACUACAUUUCUUUUUUGUUUAUAGUUGAUCAAUUGAUGUUUCUUCUUCUUCACUUGCUGCAAAUAAANNNNNNNNNNNNNNNNNNNNNNNNNNNNNNNNNNNNNNNNNNNNNNNNNNNNNNNNNNNNNNNNNNNNNNNNNNNNNNNNNNNNNNNNNNNNNNNNNNNNUAUACAAUUCGAGCUCGGUACCCCAUGAGAAGUUUUGAGAAAUUUUAAAAAUUUGACAAGAACGUGUAAACUUAACAAAUUACUGAAGCAUCUUUUAUUGUAGAAAUUAACAUUAUCACCUCAUAAUUUUACAAGUCACUUAAAAGGGACACACUCAUGGUAUUUCUCUUAUAAGUUUUGAGUAAUUUCAAAAAUAUGACAGCAACAUGUGAACUAGUCAAAUUGUUGAAGCAUGUAUCCACUUUUUAUCAGAGGAGUACCUACAAAAAAAAAAUAGUGUUGAAAUUAACAUUUGUUACUUUUUAUCAUCUCAUAACAUUAUAUAAACAUAUAAGAGGGAUACAUUCGUGGUAUUUCUAUGAUAAGUUUUUAGAAAUUUCAAAAAUAUGAAAGAAACUCGCGAACUAACCAAAUUGUUGAAGCUUUUAUCCACUUUUUAUCAAAAGAGUAAACCAUUUUUUUUACCAAAUUUCAUUACAUACAAAAAUAAGUUACGAACUUAUAACAAAAUGAUAAUAUCUUCCAAUGGAACUACAACUUAGCAUGUCUUGUUAUAAUUUUACAAUAGAACUAUAACUCAUCAAGUCCUAUCACUAAUUUACAAAUUUCCUGCAGAGGGAUGAACUUUUCCUUGUGAUUGAGUUCACCUCAUCCUGUAUCAUCUAUGAUGGCACGUUAUUAGGUUGACUUGUUGAUAAGUAUCAAUCCUAGAGAAUUCAAUUGAUCUAAGCACUGCAUUCAAUAUCAAAGCUUUCAUUUUCACAACUUUCAUGGAUGUGUUGUUUUUAUCAAAAUCAACUUGCUAAUCAACGGAUCAACCUGAAAAUUCAUCAAUGUUAAUGCUUCUAUAUCAAACUUAAGAAAAUAAUAAUAGAAGGUAACCUAACAUGUUAUUGCAAUUAGCAUAGUCCAUUUUUUUUUUCAUUACUUGUUCAAUGGUUUAAUGAGCAACUAUAUUUGUUCUUGGUCCAACUUUUAAUUAAUCGUAAUCUAACAAGAAUACAUAAUCUAACACAAAGAAACAUCAUUGAUCAAAGGAAGUAACAUACCUUUUUAUUCUGUUUCACGGUUCAUGACUAAAUGAACAUGUUGAAAAGCUUGAAUAAGGAAUGCUAAGUAAAUAAAACUACACCCAAAUAAAUUCAUCAUUUUGUAAACUAACAGCAGGACUUAACAUAUAAAACUAAACAAGAAACAUGCAAAAACACCCCAAUGAUGCUAAAAAGCAAUGACAACAAAUCAAAGAAACCCAAGAUAAGAUAUGUGUAGUCAAAACCAAAUGCCUCUACAACUAAAAGUACAACUUAGUCCAACUAGCCGCACGAUUAAAAGGGUUCCAAUAACCCCAUGAAGCUUAAACAAAGAAGAUACAUGAUCAAAUGAAACAGCAGAGCAAUGAAUCCCAAAAAAUAUGUUAUAUGAAAUAUAUUGCUUGGGACGCCUGACCAAUACAAAACUGAACAUAAGACAUCCCUAUGACCACAAACUCAUUAAUAUAAUCACAAGAUUCAUCAUCAAAAACAUCACAACUCCGCACAACCAUACAAUUCAACCUACAAGCUUAUUCACCAUGAAUCAUUCAUAGGCAUAAUUCUCUUCAAACAUGAAAAUUACAAAUUCUUUAAACUGUACACUAAUCAACUGAACUACUACUACGAGAAAAAUGAAACUACACAUCAAUUCAUAAUAUAAGUCCAACAAAACCCAUUUAAGAUGUUAUGAUGAUUUUAAAUAGAUUCAAUUUAAUCACAAAAUGGAUCACAAACAUUUCCUUCUUCACCUAAUUUAUUCUACUAUUAUGUAUACAAUUUACAGAGAAUACAUUUUAAAGGGAUAUUCUAAUGAAUAACAAUAUUUCACCUUAGAUCUUGCAACUGAUUAUUGAAUUUAAUGUUUCUUUUGCAACAAUAUUCACAACAAUUAUAACAAAUACAAACACAUGUUCUCAACACUAGUUUAAUGCACUUAACCAUAUUAUAACAAAUAAUUAACCACACUUUUUUUUCUUUCCAAAAUUCCCGCAGUUAGCCAUUUUUUAACAUAACUUUGACCACGAAUCACUAAAGACAUACUAAAUAAUUGGAGGAGAACUUGUGAAUUUUGACUGAGAAAAUAACAAUGAGAGGUGAAUGUUAUUCUAUGUAUAACAUGUUUCACACAAACUAACAAAAGAAUGACAUAACUUAACCAACACAAAUUAUCAUCCCAACCCCAUUUGUAGAUCCCAUCAAAUGCAACCAACAACAUAAGAUCUUAAUAGGCAACAACCCAAAAGGAGACAAUAAGACAGUAAUGUAACAGAAGAUUUUAACAAAAUUAUGACCUAAACUUCUAAAUACUAUCAGGCUUCAAUUAACUCAUAAUUCUCACAAAAUCAAUAUCAUAAUAUGAUUAAUUUCUACACCAUGAAAUUCUAAUUCCUUUGAAGUUGGUCACAAAUAAUUUCAAAUCAACACAAAUUACCAUCUCAUUAGGGUUUAACAAAUCAUUUAAAAAAAAAUUCAAUUUUGGAGAAAAACAUUCAAAAUGCAGACAGAUAAACCAUAAACACAAAUCCUAGUCAUAAAAUAAAAUGAAAAUUUGAGAUUAACCUCGCCUAAGAAUAAAGAGAUUGUGGGAAGAAAACAAUUGCUGAUUGUGAACCGACAGUGAUUGUGAGACAACAGUUGUGUAACGAAAACGGGUUGGUUGGAAGAGAUCGCAGAAGAGGACAAGCAGUGGGAGGAGAUCGCGUGUUGGUAGAGAGAGACUUCUCCAGUGAGGAUAGAGAGAAAUGAAAGAUAUGAUGUUUCCUUUUACCUUCUUAUUUUAUGUUUGUUUUAAUUUUAUUUUUAAUGUUUUAUAAGCUGCUUUCCAUGUCACUAGGCCUCUUUUUUUAAUUUUUUUUUGCCAACUCAAGAGUGGUAGGAGGGUGUAUCACCUAAAGGGUGUUCACGUAUCUUUUUCAUAUCAGUUAUAGCAAAACCCACUAAUUAUUGGUGCAAGAAAUAUUAACACACAAAACCUUUAUUUAUAUGACCAAGUAUUUAUAUAUUUCUUUCUAUUCUCUGUUGUGUGACUUUUUUCCAACACUAAUUCAAGGUAAAUUUCAACAAAUAAGAACUUUAAAAUAACAAACAAAAAAUUAACCCACACAUGUUGCAACAAAAAAUAACAAAAAAGUAUAAUUUAGAUAUAUUUCAAGCCUUAACCACCACAAUAUGUAUCGCAACAUUCACGAUGCAAGCAAUCAUGACUGCAACCGCAGCCACAAUUUAUGAACAUAAGGUAUUAUGAUUGAAUGAAUGGUAAAUGAAUGUAGUGGUAGCCGAUAAUAGAUAUGGUGAAAAAUGCACGUUUAGGGGCUAAAAUAAAAGCAUCUCAGUCAAGAAAUGUUGUGAUGUUAGCUAACACCGGCGCAUAAUAACUUACGUUGGGUGCCACCGCGAGUUAACUCACGCUAAAGUUAUUUAGGGAAAAUCGGGGUGGGAAUGAGAAAUACCAUAACGAGAAAAGCAAUUUUUGAAUCAUAAUAACACUAAAAUAUAAGAGUAAUGAUACAUAUACACCAUUUAUUCCCAUACACCCUUGUACACCCCAUGUAUUAGGAAGAGAGAAGAGGAGAGAAAAGAGAAAGUGUGCUUGUGCGGGGUCCACGUGACUACGUGUCAGAAUUUUGUGUGGGUGUCAAAGGGUGUAUUGCCACCUAAGGGUGUCUAUGUAUCAUUAUGGGUUUUUCUAACCUAUGCAACAUUGCAUAGAAUAAGGUGUAAUAAAUGUACCUCUUUUUUUCAAAAAAAAAAAAACUAUCAUAUUAAUUUCCCUCCAUCUCUCUCCUCUACCACUCUAUUUAUUGUAUUUUUUGAAAAACUAAAUAUUCAUCUUCCAAAUACUACCUCCGGUCCUAUUUACAAGAGACAAUUUACUUUUUAGAUACAUUGAAUAAUUUAUAUAUUUAGUUUAGGUUCUUGACUAUAUACAUACAUGGAAUAAUUUACUUUUUACAACUCAAUAUUUAGUUCAGCUUGGUUCAUUCACAAUAUUUUUUCCUUGUGCGUUAUAUAUUUUUCUCAGGUGACAAGUGCUCAAAACUCACUCAUUUGUUCUCAUAUGACAGCUAUACCACAAUAAGUUAUAUAAUUACCCUCUUUCAAUUUUUUCACGUUUUUCUCAUAUGUUCUCAACUAAUUCCUUAUGUAACGUAGCUAUGACUAUGUUACACUACUUAAAUUGCAAUUGUACAUCCGAAUGACUAUUUUUUAUAUUUUACGGAAUGAGAUUAGUCUUUGAAUUUGUUGCUACUAUCUAAAUUUUUGGAGUUAAAUUUGUUCUUGUUAUCUAAAUCCUUCCAUAUAGUUAUUUUUGGAGUAUAUAAAUGUUCUGCUUUCAUAAUUGAGUUAAAUUUUUUCUGGCUUCUAUAUUUAAAUAAAUUUUCUUCGCACUUAGCGUUCCAUUUAAUUCAUCAAUACUUUUCCAUGCACUUAAAAAAAUGGUUAUAAAAAUAAAAAAAAAAGUGAAUGGUUAAUAGGAUAGUCUUUGUUGAAAAAAGAGGUACAUUUAUUGCACCUUAUCCUAUGCAAUGUUGCAUAGGUUAGAAAAACCCUAUAACAAGAUGGAAUAAGCCAAUGAAACAUUGGCAUAUAUAUUUGUGGGUUAUACCAUGGAUAUUCAAAAACAGUUGUUUUCUUUGGCACAUUAAUUGGUUUAUUCAUGAUAGCGAAUGGUCAAAACUCAGUAGCGUUUUUGGUCCAUCCUCCCAAUUCUUGCACUUUAAAGAAGUAGAAAACAGAAGCUGUGAAUAUAUAAAAUCAGAGUAUUUUUUAAUCAUAUCUAAAGAGAGAAUCUAUAUUGCUUUGAAAGAAUGACUUCAUUAUUCUAAUACAGUUGAAACAUAGCACACUAAAUGAGGCAAAUAGUGAGGUGGAAAUUCGAUCCUUCUAAUUUCAAACAAAGACACAAAAGAGAAGAAAACAUAUCAGUAUAAAAUUUUAAUUCCUUUUGUGCAAUCUCAUUCAUAUAUUAUGAAGUGGUGAUAACUUUUACCUUAUGACAUUGGAUGUGUUCUCUCAACCACUGCAUAAAAUGGAGCAUAUUAUGAUUCUAUUUCUAAAAGCUGAACAUGAAAAAUAAUAAAGAAAGAAUCUUAAUGGAAAAACUUAUUUCAAGACUAUAUAUGAUACUAGCUCCUUCAAGCAUAUGCCAUUGUUCUUAAAAAAGGAGAAUUAGUAGCAUUCAAGAGAAGUAUAUCCAAAGCAUAAAACCCUUGAGAAUUAGCCUAUAUAACUUGUUGGGAGUGUCAUUUGAUACUUAGCAAACUAGACACAUUAAAGUAAGCAAAUCAGUCAUAGGGCAUGUCUCUAUUGGCAGGUGAUAUGGUGAUAUUUCAUUUGACUUUAAGGCUCUAAAAAUUCACUUGCCAAAGGAGAGCUGCCCUACGAGUGUUUAGCUUAAACAUUUUUUACAUUUCUCCUUGUUAUUCAUUGCAAGGAGCUUCUCAGCUUUAAAUAAAGGCAUGAUUUUGUUAGGGAUGUCUUUUUUGAUAUAUUUAGGUGGGCGGUCGUAACUUUGAAGAAGGAGACGCUCGUUAACUUCUUGGUCGACUCAAAAAAAAGAAAAUUGACACUUAGGCCAACAUAUGUUCUUGUGUAUGUGUGGGUAGGAGGGUAACAUGCAUGUUUGAACUUGACUGAGGUCUCCCCGAGUGACUGUAUCCUCUUCAAGGUUGCCACACUCGACGAAGUUUGGCAAUUCAUAAAGUGUCUCUUUUUUUUUUUUCUUCUUUUUCUGAAUGGACAAUAUUAGUACGGUAAUUGUUAUGCUAAUUUUUUCUCCUUUCUAGGACUUGAACCCUAAACCUCUAACUCCUUAUAACCUUUUUCUCAAACCAGUUGAGCUACCCUAUCUUGAAGGGAUAUACAUUUCAACACCACCUCUAUUGUAGACAUUAAAACUCACACGCUAUAAUUCAUAAAAUUGAUUAGUUCAUUUUUUAAACUCAUCAUCAUGCCAUCUUCAAUCAGUAUCAAAGUACCUUAGCAGUCUCAUCAUCUUAUAGGUAGGAACUAUAUAUAACAAAAAGUACGAGUGUUAAUUGUGACAAUAAGCGAUUUUUGGAUAGUUUCUUGAACUACAAGCUAUUGUUAGAAAGUACAGAUGAUUAACUACUUGUUAGUUAGUUAGUUAUGUUGUUAAUUAGUUAGAUAAGCUUGUAUGUAAAUAACUUACUCUAAAUACACUUGUAGAGUCUGCAACAUAUUUUGUCAACAACUUCUAUUGGUGAUGAACCCAAAAUUAAACAUUGAGCAGUAAAAGGAGGAUCUUGCCAUUCAACUAAAGGAAGGAAGUUGAACCAAAGGGAAGGUUGGUGGUGAACAAAUUCUAGGUAUUGCACUAAAGAAAGAUUCAAGACUUCAUUUUGUCCAUCCAUUUUAGGAUGGUAGAAAGUACUCAUUCUCAACUUGAACAGUUUGCGCCAAAUAUUAUUGAUGAAAGCAUGAUCCAUGUCAGAGACUAGUCUUCUAGGUAACAUUACCAUGAGGAAGGAAUAAAGGUGAAGUCAAUAGAAAGAUCUUCCCAUAUGGAAUAAUUAACUAGCAAAGUGAUUGAUAUUUGGCAAGUCUAUCAGAACUCAUCAAGUAAUAAAAGAGUUUGUAUCCACAGGUAUUAUACGAUUAGUUAGAAAACUUACCAAUUAUAUGUUAGUUAUAAGUGAUCAAUUUAGAGGGUUUGCAUAAACUUUGGUUUUAAAGAAUGAAAAUAAAUUGAAUAAAACAAGGAUGGAAAAAGCGAUUAGAACUUUUGAAUUUCUUACGUGAAUUAAUGUUAUUUAAAGUUUGAAAGAACGCUAAUUAUCACAUUAAGAUGAUGCAAUAUGUCUAAAGCGUUUAUCUAAUGAACAUUUAUCCAAGAUCCAGUUACAAUAACCAAGACUAACAGACAAUUGUUUCCUAGUUCAUUUCAUAAGGAUACUUGAAUAAUUAUAAAUUUUAACUGCAUAAAUAGGUACUCAAUAUGGUUAAAGUAGAUCUUAACGAGCAUAAUGAAGCUGCCUCUGGUAAUGGAGUUGUUUUGAUGAUGAUUGAUUAAAACUAGGUAUUAAGUGUGUUUGAUGAUGUUUAUUGUUUACAUGUUCAUAGUAAUUACUAACGAUGUUUACAUGUGCAUAGUAAUUAGUAUAUAUUAAAGCACCUAGCCAUCCAUGAUCUUAAGUUUCUUCAAAGUGUCUCGUCUGUCAAGUUUCAUUUUGUGUUUCAUUUUGUGGCAAAACUCAUUUCUUCGUACCUUUGAAUCGUAUCACAAAUUGAUGAUUUGUAUCAUGCUCGAAUCGAAUCACAAUUUGGUUGUUCGUAUCAUUUGAGUUCUCUAAUCUUGUGAUUUGCCUGAACAAAUCGUAUCAAAUAUUCUUUAUUUGUAUCAAUCUUCAUCUGAAAUUUUUUGAAUUGUAUUAAAUAUUAUUUAUUCGUAUCAAUCUUUAUAGCUUCAAAUUUAUCCUUGCCUGAAUGAAUAUUCUAGCAAGAUGUUGGGACAGCUGUCCUAGACAUGUUAGUACAACAACUUAACUUAAGGUGAAGUAUUAUAUUUCGCAAUCUUGAAAGAUUUGGUUUAUGCGUGAGAUCAUUGAAGAUUUGAUAGAAGAGAUGAUUCACGUAGCUUGUGCUCCAAGAAGCGUGUGGUUCUAGAAGCCUCCGUUGUCGUUUUGUCCUUGACCGUGUUUUAGUAUUUAAUGUCCUAAACAUUUUAGGAAACAUUUUAUAUGCUUCUAUAAAAUUGUAGCUGAAGACACUAUUGGAUCAACUGUAUUGUUUAGCCCGACAGAUGAUCAAGCCCAUGCACUCUCUGUCUAUAUAAAGGAAGACUCAAACCUAAAGAAGACUACUGAAGUCGCAAUUGAGAAAAGUGUCAUCUAGAGUUUUAGUUUGUACUUUGUUAUUUGUGAGCCACUCUUGUAUACCCUUGAUGCAUUGAGUUGGACUGAUAGUUGAGUUGUAUUUGUGAACUGCUCUAAAGCUUUUAAGCAAAUAGUGGGUUUUAUUUAUUGGAGUGUGUCUCCUUGAGUGUAAUCAUUGAAAUCACGGGUUGUGUGAUUAAGAGAAAGUGAGAUGGGAUCUCAUAUCUAAGAGAUUCUUAAAUAGAAAUAUCACGGGAAGUGAUUAGGUGAGAAGGCAGUGAACCAACUACUGUUCACAUAGGACUUCAAACUAAUACUAUUAUAGUAGAUUUCCUUCCUGGCUUGGAUGCCCCCAGAUGUAGGUGACGUUGCACCGUACUGGGUUAACAAAUAUCUUGUGUUAUUUCCUUCUUGUACUUUACUUUAAAGUUCUUUAUUGUUUAUUGUGUUAAGUAUUUGUUAUUAAGUGUUAUGAACAUUUCAUUAGACAUUCCUGGUGUUCUGGACAUCUCAUAGAAUAUCUGUCCCGUACGUGCCAGAAUUUAAGUAUCAAUCUUUAUUUAGAAACUUUUGAAUCAUAUCAAAUAUUUUUUAUUCGUAUCAAAUCUUCACAACUUUAGAUUUUUUUUCCUUUUUCAUGUGUCUGAAUCGAAUCAUACUUAACAUGAUUCGAAUCAUGUAGUUGUUUUUGCCACAAAAAUUGCACUUGGCAUUCAUGUAUAUGUAUAGUUAUACUCAUACACCUUCCAACUUAUUUAAUCAAUUGCAAAUAAUAUUCUAGAGUCUCCAAACCUCGCUCUCCACUUGUUCUUGAGAUUAAACACUUUUUCUAAGAUUUUUUUUGUGGAUUUUUAGUCAUAGAUUGCUAGAGUGUUAUAGGAAUUGUACACUAGUUUAUUUUGAAGUAACUUGAUUGAGGAUCAAGGAUCUAAAGGACAAGAGGGAUUUCUUUCCACCUCGAAGGGGAAUUGUGGGGGUCUUUCUAACUUUUCAAGUUUAAGGGGAUCCAAACUUUAAACAUAGAAAAUAAGAAUUUAAGGUGAAGGAAUUCCCAGGAUUUCAUGGGAACUUGAGUUUCGAAAACUUAGAAAAUCUCCAAUUUCAACGGGUACUUGAAGAUCGGUGGUGUUGUGAUUGCUUAGGAUUGAAGAUUAGGGUUAUCGAGGGAAUUAUUUGUAAUCAUAACAAUUUCUAAACAAUUUUCAACAAUAGUAAAAGUUCAUGAUAACGACGUUUUCUAUCAAGAAGAGUAAACAUAUCUCGAAGCGAGGACGAAAGGGGCAACUACUAUAAAUCCCGGUGGUCUCUACUCUAUCAUUUUAUAUUUUUGCCUUACUAUUUGUAUAUGAAUUUUGUGUUCGACACUAUUUGAUUUGAUUGUGAUUAAUUUUUUAACUUAACAUAAUCUCGAUUCAUUGAAUUAAUAUUCUUUUCAAAUUCAAUUUGAUCAUAAUUAAGUUUCGUCUCUAUGUGGUUUAUUGUAAUUAGGUUUGGUUUGAGUAUGUCUAAUUUUGAAAUUUUUAUGCUUGAUUAUUAAUAAUUGAUGAUUUUAAACAUUGUCUUAGACUUGUCAUCAUUGAAAUCUGAUAAGUCAUACGUUUUCAAUUCACGCCUUCGCAAACUCUUUUGAAAAUCAAAAAACCUUUUUAACCCCCCAUGCACCUUCUUGUUCAUCGUAAAGACCAAUAAAUGACAUCAAGAACGUGGUCUGUUCACUAACAGUUAACUACCGAAAGAGUCGAUAUGAUGAACAAAGAGCCUUAGUGGGAGUACAGUAGGGCUCCAAUUUUUUACGGCAAAAAAUGUGAAUAUUGGAAAGAAUGCAUGAACUUCCAUAUUCAAUCAGUCGACAUGGAUGUUGGGAACGCCAUGGUCAACUAGCGGUCCGAACCUCAAGUUGAAGUUAACGGGGUUGCAAAAAUUAAACAUAAGGCCAAUUGGACCGACAGUGAUAAAAAGAAGGUUCAAUAUGAUUUGAAGGCAAGAAACAUUCUUAUUUCCACCAUUAGCGUGAAUGAGUAUCAAUCGGUUUCACAUUGUAAGGCCACUAAGGCAAUAUUGGAUGCUUUGGAAACCCUCCUUGAGGGUACCGAAGACGUGAAGCGAUCAAAAUCAAUAUUCUCAUCUAGCGAUAUGAACUAUUCACAUGGAGGAUGGUGAAACGGUGUCGCUCGUGCAAAUGAGCUUCAGUCAUAUGGUUAACGAACCGCAAUACUUAAGGAAAAGACGUCUCGAACGAAGAUUGUACUAACAAGGGACUGAAAUGCGGGACCAAAAAAUGGGCAGUCCUAGGUCCCCCCAAUAAAGGAAUCUCAACCUUUAACCCCUUUGGAAUCCCCUGUCUUUUUGGAAAGCUUGACCGACUUUGACCCCGAGAUCCUAAGGGGGGACACAACUCGGGGGAAAAGUCCUGAACAAGGGGAGUGUGAGCCCACUGUGUUCAAACGCCCCGUGGNNNNNNNNNNNNNNNNNNNNNNNNNNNNNNNNNNNNNNNNNNNNNNNNNNNNNNNNNNNNNNNNNNNNNNNNNNNNNNNNNNNNNNNNNNNNNNNNNNNNCUCCUUUUUCUCCCAAAGUUGAUUUUCACGUAAAAACGUUUUUCUGACUUUUCUCUUUUCUUAACUCCCAAAAAGUAACUUCCCUUUCUUUUCAUUAAACUCCCCUUAAUUCUAUUAAAUAUUAAUUAACUCCCCACACUCCAAAAUAAUACUAAUUCUCACUUAUUCUAAUUAUUAUUAAAAUAAACUAUAUAAUAAAAUCUAACACACCAUAAAAUCCACAAAUAUUAUUUUAAAAUCAUAAAAAGACUCCACAUAAAUCCAAAAUAAUUAAAUUAACGACUAGGGCGUUACAACUCCAAAUCCAAAUAUAAUCCUUCCUAUGAGAAAUUACAAGAAGCUCUAGUAGACAUGCAUGAUGAUGCUUUGAAAGCUUUUGAGAAAUUAAUUGUUUAAAAGAAAAUUAAUCUAAAACUGGAAGCCGAGCUUUCACCACGUAAAAAUAAUUUAAAAUGUUGAAAAGACGAGUAUGCAUCUCUAGUAAAUGAGAAAAUUGUAAUUCCUCACAUUGAGCCACCUAAAGCUAAUUCAUCCAAGUAUGAUUCAAAUUGGAUGGAUUUUUCAAGUUGUGAAACUUGUCCUAGUUUACACGAACAGAUUAAAUCUCUAACAUGUACACAAGAACAAGCCUCCAAAUCCCCAUAGUUUUGCGUGAAUAAGAAAUCCAAUGCGGGGGCUGGUAAAGAGAACUUCUCCUUGUCUCCCACUACUCAGAUCUAAACUUAUCCCUUACGAAUCAAAGAGAAAUUGAACCAACAAUAUUUACUAGUGAUUAGGUUAUGGUUUUCAUUUUUCAAGAGUCAAGACAUUUGAUUGUUGAAUUUGAUUAUGAUGGAUAAAAGGAUUUUAAUGAUGAACUAUUUUUUUUUAGUCAAUCUUAGUUGAAAGGAUAAGAGUCAUCUUAGUUGAAAAUAUGGUGUCAAUCUUAGUUGUGGGUUUCUCUUAGUCAAUUACGAUAAUCCAACUCAUUGUACGCUCUAUAACGCACUAGUCGUUAUUUUAAUUAUUUCUGAUUUAUUUAGAGUUUUUUAUAUGAUUUUAAAUAAUUAUUGUUGAUUAUGUGGUGUGUUGUAUUUUAUGAAAUGAUUUAUUUUUAGUAUUUAUUAGAAUAAUAUGAGAAAUAUAAUUAUUUGGAAUUCUAGGGGUUAUAUUUUAAUUAAGGGAAUUAAGUGGAAGUUAAUUAGAAUUAAGAGGGAGUUAAGUAAGGAGUUGGAGAAGUCAGAAAAACAGUUUUACGUACAAGCAGUUUUUGGGAGAAAAGGCUAGGAGAAGAGAAACCAAGAGGAGAGAACAAGAAUUCUGUAGAGCUUUGUUCUUCAACUAAGGUAAGGGUGAGGUUUACUCUCAAUAGCAUAGAUUAAAGUUCUGAUUUUGAUUUUAACAUGAGGGUUUUGGUUAAUUUGGGAAUUGGGUUUAGAUUUUGAUUCUUUGAUUUUUGGAUGGAAUGAGUGUAGAAACCACUGUAUUAGUGUUAGAAUGCAUUCAGGAGGGUUGUCUCUUGUUCAUUGGAGGAGUCAAUAUGCAUGGGAAGCUCUUUAUCAUAAUGAGAACUUGGGGUCUAUUUCCUUAGAGGUGGAUGAGACUGAUGUAGGAGGGUUUUCUUAGUAAUUUAUUAGUAUUUUAUUAAUUCAGCCUAAUUUUAUUAUUUGUUUGUUUUAUUUUAUGUUUGUUAUUUUUGGCCCUUUAAGGUUUGUUAUUUCCCUAUUUAAGCUUUACAGAUGUAGCCUAAGAGGCAACUUUUUUUACAAUAUUAUUUCAGAGAGCUUUUCUCAAUUUUUUGUGGUUUCCAGAACCUUUAUUUCAUAAGUUUGUCGAAUGCAAACUUGUCUUUUUUCAAUCUAGGUUUAAAGCUUGCUAGCCUACGCUUCUGUACUGCAUCACAUCCACAUUGGUUUAGAUCCAAGAGAGGGAGAAGGUGGAGUUUGUAAAACCUCUAAGAGGGUAUGACUCAUAGCACUCUUGGCUGUAGUCUAGAAAAUUGAGUUACUUUGAAAUCGUGCAUGGAGUCAUUGCCAUGACCUUUAAUUAGCUUGUAGUUGAAGUUAUUUUCUGAUAUUAUCCUAUCUAUCCGACUUUUCAUGUGAUCUUUGAAGCACCUCUUGUUUCUUUCAUAUGUACAAAACUGGUUUGAAAGGUGAGAUGUGCUUCCUCUUAAUAAACACUUCUCAACAGUCCUAUCUAUCCAAUGUGGGACAAAAUCCAGCCCCUCAAAGCCAACACAAUGAAGGUGUUAGAGGCUGUAAUGAAGGCAAACCAAAGGUCGCAAUUUAGGCGACUAGGGGCGAACCGUAAUAAAGGUGGAAUUUCCAAGACACCCCAUCACGCUUCAGCCUAGCCCAAUGGGCCUAAAGCAUGGAUGAUAUGGGAUACCCAACAAAAGAUCUAGGAUAGGCUCUGAUACUAUGUCGAAAUUUAGGGUCUAGCUCAUUCUUACAAAACCGACUUGUAAGGUGAGGAGUGUCUCGUAUGGUUAUUUUGCAUAUUAUUGAGAAAAUGUAUUUGAUUCGAUGUUGGAAAAAUAAACGUCCAAGUUUUAACUUCAUAUCCACAUGAAAAAACUACAAUAUUAUUUAUCGUACGUAUGAUACAGUCCUAUCAAAUUGGAAUGUAAGCACGGACCGGUGAAUACAAGGGUAUUAUUUUAUUUUAUUUUGGGGGGGCGGGGGGAGGGGGGUGGGACCAAUAAGAGGGGCCGAUAGAACUAGUUUGUUGUUGUGGUAUAUAACUUACAUUGGCCCAAGUCCAUUAACCUAAACCUAAUUUCAUCUUCUCUCUCGAUGGAAAUUGCAUAUAAAAGUGGCCGCAUCCACAAUAUAUUUCUCCCCAAUUUCUUCUUCUUCCUUAUUUUUCCUUUAUUUUAUGUUUACCAGUUUUUUCGCGAUUCUUCAUACUGUUUGUUGUUCUGUUCACGUGUUCUCAUAUAUACUUUAUUUAUUAAAUCAAAUUUUCAAUAUCUCAGUGCCUCUUAAAUUCCAUUAGAGAUUGAUCCUUGAUUCAUCUGAAAAGUUCAGAAAUUAAUCUAGUUGUCAAACUGUGUGCUUUAAAUUUGAUUUACAACUAAUUUGUAACGACAAUACCCAUCAAGAGAAUUAUCAAUCUAAUAGUUUGACCAUUUCUUCUACAUGUUUUGUUUUUUCUCAAAAUUGUUCAGAUUUACAGAUCCAGUUUGAUCAUUGCAAUAAUGGAUGAAGGUCAAUCUGCAGAUGGGAAUGAAGAUAUUCAUCAAAUAAAAUUGUCAAAAACCUCCAAAUCAAAUCGACGAAAUACCAAAGGUAUCCAAAAAUAAUAUGUAUUUUUUUUUGAAAGGAUCCAUAAAUAUUAAAUUGUUAUCCAUUUAAUUGUUAUAUAUUCAAUAUUUAAAUGGUGGCUAACAUUCAUUUGUACAUUACAAAAUUUGAAUGAGCUAUUUUUUUUUUUUUUUUUAAUUUUCAAUUCAAACUGCCAAAGAUGAUAACCAUGCUUUGGUCACUAUUCAAGACUCUAAAGGCUUGUUUGAUCUCGUAAUCAGUAAGUUUCAUAUAUUUGAAAUGAAAGUAUUUGAAUUCCAAAAGAAAAUUCAAGAUGAAUUUCAACUUCCUGAUAUAGGUUAGUAUCAUUUUUCCCUUCCAACUAAAAAUUAAGUCUAAUUUUUAGUCAUUAAAUAUACCUUGCAAUUUUUUAUUUUUUAUGUUUUCAAUCCUCUAUAUUAAUAUUAUGCAGUAGUUUCACUAUAGUAUAAGUUAUGAUAUAUUUAAAUAUAUGAUGACAUUUUACCUUUUGUUUUAAAUAGUGAUGUCUAAAGACAAUACACCAGACAUUAUCUCCAUGACUUUAGAACUUGGAGCAGCACGCUAUAUUGUUAACGCAUUUUGUAAUGAAAACUUUAGAGACAUUUGGAAGUAUGCAUUGGAAGCAAAGAAAAAUAAACUAUUUAUUGAUAGUUUAUCUGCAGCAGGUGAAGAACAAGAGACAUCAACUGAUCUACUACAAACAAAAAAGAAAUGUAGUAAAAGAAAGAGUUGUGAUUAUAGCCAAGAUGAAGGGGAGUUUGAAAUUAAUAAGAAAUUUAGUAAAAUCAUCACAACUCCCCUUCAUCUUAACAACUCCAAACUCCCAUUCACCUUGGUGAUUACCAAAACUCUUUCUUUUACUACAUUUCUUUUUUGUUUGUAGUUGAUCAAUUGAUGUUUCUUCUUCUUCACUUGCUGCAAAUAAACUAUCAAUAAAUAGUUUAUUUUUCUUUGCUUCCAUAGCAUAUUUCCAAAUAUCUCUAAGGUCUUUAGGACAAAAUGGUUUAACAAUGUAGGGUGCUGCUCCCUGUUCUAAAGUCAUGAGAUUAUGUUUGGUGUAUUGUCUUUCGACAUCACUAUUUGAAACAAAAGGUAAAAGUCAUAUAUUUAAACAUAUCAUAACGUAUACGAUAGUGAAAGAACCGCAUAAUAUUAAUACAGAGUAUUUAAAACAUAAAAAGUUAAAAAGGACAAAAUUGCAAGGUAGAUUUAAUAGUUGGGAGGGAAAAAUGAUACUUACCUAUAAUAGGAAGUUGAAAUUCAUCUUGAAUUUGCUUUUGGAAUUCAAAUCCAUUCAUUCCAAAUAUAUGAAACUCCCCGAUUAUGAGAUGAAACAAGUCUUUAGAGUUUCGAAGAGUGACCAAAGCAUGAUGAGCAUAUAUGGCAGUUUGAACUGAAAAUUAAAACAAAAUAAAUAAAAUAAGCUCAUUGAAAUUUAUUUUUCUUUGCUUUUGUUCUAAAGCUGAAAAUUGUUUUAAAGACACAAGCAUUUGUUGUUGUACAUUUAAUAUUUCUUCGGAACAUCAUAAAUGAUUUGAUUUACUUUUUCCCACUCCUAGAUAACAUUAAGAAAGACAAUGAGGUUGAAAUUUAACAAUUUUGAUUUGAAUUCUUCUUAAUAGACUUUUAUGGUCAAUACAAAGGUUUAUGUAUAUCUAGACAUGUGGAACUCAAUGAUUUGGUAUAAGAAAAAGUUAAAAAGAGCAAAGAAAUUGUUUCUAAUGAUAAUAAAAAAGAAGCUGAAAUGAUGAAAAAUUCUAAGAGUCACGAUAAAGAAUUUUCUAGUUCCUCUGGCAAGGACUGGGAAAGAAAUGAUGAAAUGAUUCAAGGAGCACUGAUAGAUGGACCACCUUAGGUGGUUCUACCACUCAUACCACCCUUGUGUGGCACAUUUAAUUAUUAAAAGAAAUAGCUUAAUAAUCCAUGUCAUACCAGAAGAUAAAAAGAAAAAGAAAGUUGUACAUUCUCUCUCUCUCUCUCUCUCUCUCUCUCUCUCAUCUCAUUCACUCGGUCCUCUCUCUCUCCCACUCUUGUUCCAUUUUCUCUAGGGAAGAUGAUUUCCACAACCAUUCUCGUUGAUGCCGUCGCCGUUACAUCUUGAUAGAUUUUUCGGAAGGUUGAUCUCCAACCACAUCCUUGUUGUCACUGUCGAUUUUUCUGUGCUCAGGAAUCCCUAUUUUGUUCCUCCUGUUUUCUUCCUCUUCCAUCUUCAACUCAGGUAUAUUCAUCUCUGGUCUUUUUGUUCGAUUCACUAGUUCCGACUUGCGAUUUUUGUUUGUUCCUUUCUUUUUGUGUGUGUGAUUCAAUUCUCUUGUUCCUCAUAUCAGUUUAAUUUGAAUUAAAUUUAAACAUUUUUUAUGAAAAAUGUAAAUCUCAAUUCGGUUCAUUUAUCAGUUUAAUUUGAAUUAAAUUUAAACAUUUUUGUGAAAAUUGUAAUCUCAAUUUGGUUAAUCCAGAGUACUAAGAUGGGAUAUAAAGUGAUUUUUUUGAACCAUAUAUGCACUUUAGCUAAGAUAUUGAAGAUGUGUAGUUAAUCAUGGGUGGAAUUUGAUGUUAUUAGUAUUUGAUUGAGUUUGAUCGAUUAAGUCUUUAGAGACUGGGUUAGUCUCUUAAUAAAUCCUUACUUUUUUUUUUAUGGAAAUUGAGUCAGUUUAUUAGUUAACAAUGGAGGUGUAAUGCUGAUUAGAUUUCAUAAUAAGAUAAUUUAAUCAAAUGUUUAUUGGUAUCUUAAUUGCAUUAGAUUUAUGUUGUGAUAUUGAUAAACUUAUAGGUGACCAAUUUUGAAUGCAGAACAACAAUUUGGUCACGCCUUUGAAAAUUUGUGGUUAUAUGCUUCAAUUAUUUGGUUAUAUGUAUUUUUCCUGUGAAAACAAUAUCAAUUUUUCAAUUUAUCAACAAAAUAUCAAAAGUUACCACCUUCUAUGUUUCUUGGUCUCUUAAUCACGCUAAUAAAUGACAAAUUUUGAACGCAGGAAAAAAACUAUGGUCGUGCCUUUGAAAAAUCGUUGCUAUAUGGUUUUGUUAUUUGGUUUUGUGUAUUUUUUCUUCGAGAAAAAUAUCAGUUUUGCAAAUUUAUCAGCUAAAUAUCAAAAGUGACCACCUUCUAGGUUUCUUGGUCUCUAAAUUACAUUUGAUUUAUGUUGUGAGUUCACUUCAAAGCUCAAUUGUACAACCAUUUCUGUUGUGAUGAAUCUGAAUCUUAACGUGGAUGCAAGAUGCUUCAAGGAUGAUACAAUGAGAUAGUAGUCUAGAUACUGUAUAAGAUUUAUAGAAUUUGUUGCAACAAAACUAGAAUGAAGGCCACUAUCCUCUGCUUUGGCCGAAGUAUUAGCUCUACAGCGGUGUCUCCAAUGGAUCCUCACAACAAAUCAAAAUGGACACGUCCUCGUAGAAACUGAUUCUAAAGUCACAAUGAAAUGUAUCCAAGGUCUGAUUUGGAUGAUUGAGAUAUAAAAUAUUAUUCCAGACUGCGUAGACAUUUCAUCCACUAUGUCCAAUUGUGUUGUUCCUUUUAUUAAAAGAACUAAGAUUAUUCUUGUCCAUAGCCUAGUGGUAGUAGAAAAAAGUUUGGUUUUAACUCAUGGUUGGGAUAUGUCCCUAAAACCGCAGCCUCUGCUACUUAUACUAAUAGGCAUAACCAUCUUUAAUCGAAUACUUGUUUGAUUGUAAAAAUAAUUAUUCAUGUAUCAAUGUUGCACUAUGAACACAGAUAAUUGCAUCUAGUCACUUAACUUUCUAUCUUGAUUAUCAUGUAACUUAUAGAUGAGUAAUUUUGGAUGCUUGAAAAAAAGAUGGCUAUAUCUUUAUAAUACUGUGGUUAUAUGUUUCAAUUACUUGGUUACUAGGAAUUAUCUUGUGAAAACUAUAUCAUUUUAAACCAAUCUAUCAAAGAAAUACUGAAAGUAACAAUUUAUUAUACUUCUUUGACUAUAAUUCCAUUAAGUUUCUUUUGUGAGGUUGGUAAACUUACAAAUGAGAAAUUUAGAAUGCAUGAAAAAAAUAUGGUUACUCCUUUGUAAAAUUGUGGGUAUAUGCUUCAAUUAUUUGGUUACAUGGGUUAUCAUAUGAAAACUAUAUGUCAAUUUAAGUCAAUAAUAUACCAAAAAUAACCACCUAUUACGUUUCUUGAACUCUAAUUCCAGUAAUUUUUGUUAUGUUAAUUGAAAAAAAAAAUAUCAGGAACUUGUGAAAUAACCAAACAGUUAAAAUGUGUAUCCACUUUUCAUCAAAAGAGUAACUACAAAUUUUUUAGUAUUGAAAUUAGCAUGUGACUUUGUAUAUCGUCUCUUAAUUACAACACACAUAAAAAGGGCACACUCAUGACAUUUCUCUGAUAAGUUUUGAGAAAUUUUAAAAAUUUGACAAGAACGUGUGAACUUAACAAAUUGCUGAAGCAUCUUUAUUGUAGAAAUUAACAUUAUCACCUCAUAAUUUUACAAGUUACUUAAAAGGGACACACUCAUGGUAUUUCUCUUAUAAGUUUUGAGUAAUUUCAAAAAUAUGACAGCAACAUGUGAACUAGCCAAAUUGUUGAAGCAUGUAUCCACUUUUUAUCAAAGGAGUACCUAAAAAAAAAAAUAGUGUUGAAAUUAACAUUUGUUACUUUUUAUCAUCUCAUAACAUUAUAUAAACAUAUAAAAGGGACACACUCGUGGUAUUUCUAUGAUAAGUUUUUAGAAAUUUCAAAAAUAUGAAAGAAACUCGCGAACUAACCAAAUUGUUGAAGCUUUUAUCCACUUUUUAUCAAAAGAGUAAACCAUUUUUUUACCAAAUUUCAUUACAUACAAAAAUAAGUUACGAACUUAUAACAAAAUGAUAAUAUCUUCCAAUGGAACUAAAACUUAGCAUGUCUUGUUAUAAUUUUACAAUAGAACUAUAACUCAUCAAGUCCUAUCACUAAUUUACAAAUUUCCUGCAAAGGGAUGAACUUUUCCUUGUGAUUGAGUUCACCUCAUCCUGUAUCAUCUAUGAUGGCACGUUAUUAGGUUGACUUGUUGAUAAGUAUCAAUCCUAGAUAAUUCAAUUGAUCUAAGCACUGCAUUCAAUAUCAAAGCUCUCAUUUUCACAACUUUCAUGGAUGUGUUGUUUUUAUCAAAAUCAACUUGCUAAUCAACGGAUCAACCUGAAAAUUCAUCAAUGUUAAUGCUUCUAUAUCGAACUUAAGAAAAUAAUAAUAGAAGGUAACCUAACAUGUUAUUGAAAUUAGCAUAGUCCAUUUUUUUUUUUUAUCAUUACUUGUUCAAUGGCUUAAUGAGCAACUAUAUUUGUUCUUGGACCAACUUUUAAUUAAUCAUAAUCUAACAAGAAUACAGAAUCUAACACACAGAAACAUCAUUGAUCAAAGGAAGUAACAUACCUUUUUGUUCUGUUUCAUGGUUCAUGACUAAAUGAACAUGUUGAAAAGCUUGAAUAAGGAAUGCUAAGUAAAUAAAACUACACCCAAAUAAAUUCAUCAUUUUGUAAACUAACAGCAGGACUUAACAUAUAAAACUAAACAAGAAACAUGCAAAAACACCCCAAUGAUGCUAAAAAAGCAAUGACAACAAAUCAAAGAAACCCAAGAUAAGAUAUGUGUAGCCAAAACCAAAUGCCUCUACAACUAAAAGUACAACUUAGUCCAACUAACCGCACAAUUAAAAGGGUUCCAAUAACCCCAUGAAGCUUAAACAAAGAAGAUACAUGAUCAAAUGAAACAGCAGAGCAAUGAAUCCCAAAAAAUAUGUUAUGUGAAGUACUCCCUCCGGUCCUAUUUAUAAGAGAAGUUUAGGUCAACAGUAUUUGGACUGAAUUUUUAACUAGAUACAUCAACUUUUGUUGACAAAAAAUUCUCUUAUAAAUAGGACCGGCGGGAGUAUAUUGCUUGGGACGCCUGACCAAUUCAAAACUGAACAUAAGACAUCCCCUAUGACCACAAACUCAUUAAUAUAAUCACAAGAUUCAUCAUCAAAAACAUCACAACUCCGCACAACCAUACAAUUCAACCUACAAGCUUAUUCACCAUGAAUCAUUCAUAGGCAUAAUUCUCUUCAAACAUGAAAAUUACAAAUUCUUUAAACUGUACACUAAUCAACUGAACUACUACUACGAGAAAAAUGAAACUACACAUCAAUUCAUAAUAUAAGUCCAGCAAAACCCAUUUAAGAUGUUAUGAUGAUUUUAAAUAGAUUUAAUUUAAUCACAAAAUGGAUCACAAACAUUUCCUUCUUCACCUAAUUUAUUCUACUAUUAUGUAUACAAUUUACAGAGAAUACAUUUUAAUGGGAUAUUCUAAUGAAUAACAAUAUUUCACCUUAGAUCUUGAAACUGAUUAUUGAAUUUAAUGUUUCUUUUGCAACAAUAUUCACAACAAUUAUAACAAAUACAAACACAUGUUCUCAACACUAGUUUAAUGCACUUAACCAUAUUAUAACAAAUAAUUAACCACACUUUUUUUUCUUUCCAAAAUUCCCGCAGUUAGCCAUUUUUUAACAUAACUUUGACCACGAAUCACUAAAGACAUACUAAAUAAUUGGAGGAGAACUUGUGAAUUUUGACUGAGAAAAUAACAAUGAGAGGUGAAUGUUAUUCUAUGUAUAACAUGUUUCACACAAACUAACAAAAGAAUGACAUAACUUAACCAAUACAAAUUAUCAUCCCAACCCCAUUUGUAGAUCCCAUCAAAUGCAACCAACAACAUAAGAUCUUAAUAGGCAACAACCCAAAAGGAGACAAUAAGACAGUAAUGUAACAGAAGAUUUUAACAAAAUUAUGACCUAAACUUCUAAAUACUAUCAGGCUUCAAUUAACUCAUAAUUCUCACAAAAUCAAUAUCAUAAUAUGAUUAAUUUCUACACCAUGAAAUUCUAAUUCCUUUGAAGUUGUUCACAAAUAAUUUCAAAUCAACACAAAUCAUUAAGGUUUAACAAAUCAUUUAAAAAAAAACAUUCAAUUUUGGAGAAAAACAUUCAAGAUGCAGACAUAUAAACCAUAAACACAAAUCCUAGUCAUAAAAUAAAAUGAAAAUUUGAGAUUAACCUCGCCUAAGAAUAGAGAGAUUGUGGGAAGAAAACAAUUGCUGAUUGUGAACCGACAGUGAUUGUGAGACAACAGUUGUGUAACGAAAACGGGUUGGUCGGAAGAGAUCGCAGAAGAGGACAAACAGUGGGAGGAGAUCGCGUGUUGGUAGAGAGAGACUUCUCCAGUGAGGAUAGAGAGAAAUGAAAGAUAUGAUGUUUCCUUUUACCUUCUUAUUUUAUGUUUGUUUUAAUUUUAUUUUUAAUGUUUUAUAAGCUGCUUUCCAUGUCACUAGGCCUCUUUUUUUAAUAUUUUUUUUACCAACUCAAGAGUGGUAGGAGGGUGUAUCACCUAAAGGGUGUUCACGUAUCUUUUUCAUAUCAGUUAUAGCAAAACCCACUAAUUAUUGGUGCAAGAAAUAUUAACACAAAAAACCUUUAUUUAUAUGACCAAGUAUUUAUAUAUUUCUUUCUAUUCUCUGUUGUGUGACUUUUUUCCAACACUAAUUCAAGGUAAAUUUCAACAAAUAAGAACUUUAAAAUAACAAACAAAAAAUUAACCCACACAUGUUUCAACAAAAAAUAACAAAAAAGUAUAACUUAGAUAUAUUUCAAGCCUUAACCACUACAAUAUGUAUCGCAACAUUCGCGAUGCAAGCAAUCAUGACUGCAACCGCAGCCACAAUUUAUGAACGUAAGGUAUUGUGAAUGAAUGAGUGGUAAAUGAAUGUAGUGGUAGCCGAUAAUAGAUAUGGUGAAAAAUGCACGUUUAGGGGCUAAAAUAAAAGCAUCUCAGUCAAGAAAUGUUGUGAUGUUAGCUAACACCGGCGCAUAAUAACUUACGUUGGGUGCCACCGCGAGUUAACUCACGCUAAAGUUAUUUAGGGAAAAUCGGGGUGGAAUGAGAAAUACCAUAAGGAGAAAAGCAAUUUUUGAAUCAUAAUAACACUAAAAUAUAAAUGGGUUUUUCUAACCUAUGCAACAUUGCAUAGAAUAAGGUGUAAUAAAUGUACCUCUUUUUUUCAAAAAAAAAAAAACUAUCAUAUUAAUUUCCCUCCAUCUCUCUCCUCUACCACUCUAUUUAUUGUAUUUUUUGAAAAACUAAAUAUUCAUCUUCCAAAUACUACCUCCGGUCCUAUUUACAAGAGACAAUUUACUUUUUAGAUACAUUGAAUAAUUUAUAUAUUUGGUUUAGGUUCUUGACUAUAUACAUACAUUGAAUAAUUUACUUUUUACAACUCAAUAUUUAGUUCAGCUUGGUUCAUUCACAAUAUUUUUUCCUUGUGCGUUAUAUAUUUUUCUCAGGUGACAAGUGCUCAAAACUCACUCAUUUGUUCUCAUAUGACAGCUAUACCACAAUAAGUUAUAUAAUUACCCUCUUUCAAUUUUUUCACGUUUUUCUCAUAUGUUCUCAACUAAUUCCUUAUGUAACGUAGCUAUGACUAUGCUACACUACUUAAAUUGCAAUUGUACAUCCGAAUGACUAUUUUUUAUAUUUUACGGAAUGAGAUUAGUCUUUGAAUUUGUUGCUACUAUCUAAAUUUUUGGAGUUAAAUUUGUUCUUGUUAUCUAAAUCCUUCCAUAUAGUUAUUUUUGGAGUAUAUAAAUGUUCUGCUUUCAUAAUUGAGUUAAAUUUUUUCUGGCUUCUAUAUUUAAAUAAAUUUUCUUCGCACUCAGCGUUCCAUUUAAUUCAUCAAUACUUUUCCAUGCACUUAAAAAAAUGGUUAUAAAAAUAAAAUAAAAAGUGAAUGGUUAAUAUGAUAGUCUUUGUUGAAAAAAGAGGUACAUUUAUUGCACCUUAUCCUAUGCAAUGUUGCAUAGGUUAGAAAAACCCUAUAACAAGAUGGAAUAAGCCAAUGAAACAUUGGUAUAUAUAUUUGUGGGUUAUACCAUGGAUAUCCAAAAACAGUUGUUUUCUUUGGCACAUUAAUUGGUUUAUUCAUGAUAGCGAAUGGUCAAAACUCAGUGGCGUUUUUGGUCCAUCCUCCCAAUUCUUGCACUUUAAAGAAGUAGAAAACAGAAGCUGUGAAUAUAUAAAAUUAGAGUAUUUUUUAAUCAUAUCUAAAGAGAGAAUCUAUAUUGCUUUGAAAGAAUGACUUCAUUAUUCUAAUACAGUUGAAACAUAGCACACUAAAUGAGGCAAAUAGUGAGGUGGAAAUUCGAUCCUUCUAAUUUCAAACAAAGACACAAAAGAGAAGAAAACAUAUCGGUAUAAAAUUUUAAUUCCUUUUGUGCAAUCUCUUUCAUAUAUUAUGAAGUGGUGAUAACUUUUACCUUAUGACAUUGGAUGUGUUCUCUCAACCACUUCAUAAAAUGGAGCAUAUUAUGAUUCUAUUUCUAAAAGCUGAACAUGAAAAAUAAUAAAGAAAGAAUCUUAAUGGAAAAACUUAUUUCAAGACUAUAUAUGAUACUAGCUCCUUCAAGCAUAUGCCAUUGUUCUUAAAAAAGGAGAAUUAGUAGCAUUCAAGAGAAGUAUAUCCAAAGCAUAAAACCCUUGAGAAUUAGCCUAUAUAACUUGUUGGGAGUGUCAUUUGAUACUUAGCAAACUAGACACAUUAAAGUAAGCAAAUCAGUCAUAGGGCAUGUCUCUAUUGGCAGGUGAUAUGGUGAUAUUUCAUUUGACUUUAAGGCUCUAGAAAUUCACUUGCCAAAGGAGAGCUGCCCUACGAGUGUUUAGCUUAAACAUUUUUUACAUUUUUCCUUGUUAUUCAUUGCAAGGAGCUUCUCAGCUUUAAAUAAAGGCAUGAUUUUGUUAGGGAUGUCUUUUUUGAUAUAUUUAGGUGGGCGGUCGUAACUUUGAAGAAGGAGACGCUCGUUAACUUCUUGGUCGACUCAGAAAAAAGAAAAUUGACACUUAGGCCAACAUAUGUUCUUGUGUAUGUGUGGGUAGGAGGGUAACAUGCAUGUUUGAACUUGACUGAGGUCUCCCCGAGUGACUGUAUCCUCUUCAAGGUUGCCACACUCGACGAAGUUUGGCAAUUCAUAAAGUGUCUCUUUUUUUUUUUCUUCUUUUUCUGAAUGGACAAUAUUAGUACGGUAAUUGUUAUGCUAAUUUUUUCUCCUUUCUAGGACUUGAACCCUAAACCUCUAACUCCUUAUAACCUUUUUCUCAAACCAGUUGAGCUACCCUAUCUUGAAGGGAUAUACAUUUCAACACCACCUCUAUUGUAGACAUUAAAACUCACACGCUAUAAUUCAUAAAAUUGAUUAGUUCAUUUUUUAAACUCAUCAUCAUGCCAUCUUCAAUCAGUAUCAAAGUACCUUAGCAGUCUCAUCAUCUUAUAGGUAGGAACUAUAACAAAAAGUACGAGUGUUAAUUGUGACAAUAAGCGAUUUUUGGAUAGUUUCUUGAACUACAAGCUAUUGUUAGAAAGUACAGAUGAUUAACUACUUGUUAGUUAGUUAGUUAUGUUGUUAAUUAGUUAGAUAAGCUUGUAUGUAAAUAACUUACUCUAAAUACACUUGUAGAGUCUGCAACAUAUUUUGUCAACAACUUCUAUUGGUGAUGAACCCAAAAUUAAACAUUGAGCAGUAAAAGGAGGAUCUUGCCAUUCAACUAAAGGAAGAAAGUUGAACCAAAGGGAAGGUUGGUGGUGAACAAAUUCUAGGUAUUGCACUAAAGAAAGAUUCAAGACUUCAUUUUGUCCAUCCAUUUUAGGAUGGUAGAAAGUACUCAUUCUCAACUUGAACAGUUUGCGCCAAAUAUUAUUGAUGAAAGCAUGAUCCAUGUCAGAGACUAGUCUUCUAGGUAACAUUACCAUGAGGAAGGAAUAAAGGUGAAGUCAAUAGAAAGAUCUUCCCAUAUGGAAUAAUUAACUAGCAAAUUGAUUGAUAUUUGGCAAGUCUAUCAGAACUCAUCAAGUAAUAAAAGAGUUUGUAUCCACAGGUAUUAUACGAUUAGUUAGAAAACUUACCAAUUAUAUGUUAGUUAUAAGUGAUCAAUUUAGAGGGUUUGCAUAAACUUUGGUUUUAAAGAAUGAAAAAAAAUUGAAUAAAACAAGGAUGGAACAAGCGAUUAGAACUUCUGAAUUUCUUACGCUAAUUAUCACAUUAAGAUGAUGUAAUAUGUCUAAAGCGUUUAUCUAAUGAACAUUUAUCCAAGAUCCAGUUACAAUAACCAAGACUAACAGACAAUUGUUUCCUAGUUCAUUUCAUAAGGAUACUUGAAUAAUUCUAAAUUUUAACUGCAUAAAUAGGUACUCAAUAUGGUUAAAGUAGAUCUUAACGAGCAUAAUGAAGCUGCCCUUGGUAAUGGAGUUGUUUUGAUGAUGUUUGAUUAAAACUAGGUAUUAAGUGUGUUUGAUGAUGUUUAUUGUUUACAUGUUCAUAGUAAUUACUAACGAUGUUUACAUGUGCAUAGUAAUUAGUAUAUAUUAAAGCACCUAGCCAUCCAUGAUCUUAAGUUUCUUCAAAGUGUCUCGUCUGUCAAGUUUCAUUUUGUGGCAAAACUCAUUUCUCCGUACCUUUGAAUCGUAUCACAAAUUGAUGAUUUGUAUCAUGCUCGAAUCGAAUCACAAUUUGGUUGUUCGUAUCAUUUGAGUUCUCUAAUCUUGUGAUUUGCCUGAACAAAUCGUAUCAAAUAUUCUUUAUUUGUAUCAAUCUUCAUCUAAAAUUUUUUGAAUUGUAUUAAAUAUUAUUUAUUCGUAUCAAUCUUUAUAGCUUCAUAUUUAUCCUUGCCUGAAUGAAUCAUAUCGAAUAUUCUUGAUUCGUAUAUGUUGGAUUUUUAUUUGUGUUGGCCGCAUUAUGUUAAAAAAAAAAUAUUCUAGCAAGAUGUUGGGAAAGCUGUCCUAGACAUGUUAGUACAACAACUUAACUUAAGGUGAAGUAUUAUGUUUCGCAAUCUUGAAAGAUUUGGUUUAUGGGUGAGAUCAUUGAAGAUUUGAUAGAAGAGAUGAUUCACGUAGCUUGUGCUCCAAGAAGCGUGUGGUUCUAGAAGCCUCCUUUGUCGUUUUGUCCUUGACCGUGUUUUAGUAUUUAAUGUCCUAAACAUUUUAGGAAACAUUUUAUAUGCUUCUAUAAAAUUGUAGCUGAAGACACUAUUGGAUCAACUGUAUUGUUUAGCCCGACAGAUGAUCAAGCACAUGCACUCUCUGUCUAUAUAAAGGAAGACUCAAACCUAAAGAAGACUACUGAAGUCGUAAUUGAGAAAAGUGUCAUCUAGAGUUUUAUUUUGUACUUUGUUAUUUGUGAGCCACUCUUGUAUACCCUUGAUGCAUUGAGUUGGACUGAUAGUUGAGUUGUAUUUGUGAACUGCUCUAAAGCUUUUAAGCAAAUAGUAGGUUUUAUUUAUUGGAGUGUGUCUCCUUGAGUGUAAUCAUUGAAAUCACGGGUUGUGUGAUUAAGAGAAAGUGAGAUGGGAUCUCAUAUCUAAGAGAUUCUUAAAUAGAAAUAUCACGGGAAGUGAUUAGGUGAGAAGGCAGUGAACCAACUACUGUUCACAUAGGACUUCAAACUAAUACUAUUAUAGUAGAUUUUCUUCCUGGCUUGGAUGUCCCCAGAUGUAGGUGACGUUGCACCGCACUGGGUUAACAAAUAUCUUGUGUUAUUUCCUUCUUGUACUUUACUUUAAAGUUGUUUAUUGUUUAUUGUGUUAAGUAUUUGUUAUUAAGUGUUAUGAACAUUUCAUUCGACAUUCUUGGUGUCCUGGACAUCUCAUAGAAUAUUUGUCCCGUACGUGCCAGAAUUUGAGUAUCAAUCUUUAUCUCGAAACUUUUGAAUCAUAUCAAAUAUUUUUUAUUCGUAUCAAAUCUUCACAACUUUAAAUUUUUUUUCCUUUUUCAUGUGUCUGAAUCGAAUCAUACUUAACAUGAUUCGAAUCAUGUAGUUGUUUUUGCCACAAAAAUUGCACUUGUCAGUCAUGUAUAUAUAUAGUUAUACUAAUACACCUUCCAACUUAUUUAAUCAAUUGCAAAUAAUAUUCUAGAGUCUCCAAACCUCUCUCUCCACUUGUUCUUGAGAUUAAACACUUUUUCUAAGAUUUUUUUGUGGAUUUUUAGUCAUAGAUUGCUAGAGUGUUAUAGGAAUUGUACACUAGUUUAUUUUGAAGUAACUUGAUUGAGGAUCAAGGAUCUAAAGGACAAGAGGGAUUUCUUUCCACCUCGAAGGGAAAUUGUGGGGGCUUUCUAACUUUUCAAGUUUAAGGGGAUCCAAAUUUCAAACAUAGAAAAUAAGAAUUCAAGGUGAAGGAAUUCCCAGGAUUUCAUGGGAACUUGAGUUUCGAAAACUUAGGAAAUCUCCAAUUUCAACGGGUACUUGAAGAUCGGUGGUGUUGUGAUUUCUUAGGAUUGAAGAUUAGGGUUAUCGAGGGAAUUAUUUGUAAUCCUAACAAUUUCUAAACAAUUUUCAACAAUAGUAAAAGUUCAUGAUAACGACGUUUUCUAUCAAGAAAAGUAAACAUAUCUCGAAGCGAGGACGAAAGGGGCAACUACUAUAAAUCCCGGUGUUCUCUACCCUAUCAUUUUAUAUUUUUGCCUUACUAUUUGUAUAUGAAUUUUGUGUUUGACACUAUUUGAUUUGAUUGUGAUUAAUUUUUUAACUUAACAUAAUCUCGAUUCAUUGAAUUAAGAUUCUUUUCAAAUUCAAUUUGAUCAUAAUUAAGUUUCGUCUCUAUGUGGUUUAUUGUAAUUAGGUUUGGUUUGAGUAUGUCUAAUUUUGAAAUUUUUAUGCUUGAUUAUUAAUAAUUGAUGAUUUUAAACAUUGUCUUAGACUUGUCAUCAUUGGAAUCUGAUAAGUCAUACGUUUUCAAUUCAGGCCUUCGCAAACUCUUUUGAAAAUCAAAAAACCUUUUUAAACCCCCCCAUAUGCACCUUCUUGUUCAUCGUAAAGACCAAUAAAUGACAUCAAGAACGUGGUCUGUUCACUAACAGUUAACUACCGAAAGAGUCGAUAUGAUGAACAAAGAGCCUUAGUGGGAGUACAGUAGGGCUCCAAUUUUUUACGGCAAAAAAUGUGAAUAUUGGAAAGAAUGCAUGAACUUCCAUAUUCAAUAAGUCGACAUGGAUGUUGGGAACGCCAUGGUCAACUAGCGGUCCGAACCUCAAGUUGAAGUUAACGGGGUUGCAAAAAUAAAACAUAAGGCCAAUUGGACCGACAGUGAUAAAAAGAAGAUUCAAUAUGAUUUGAAGGCAAGAAACAUUCUUAUUUCCACCAUUUGCGUGAAUGAGUAUCAAUCGGUUUCACAUUGUAAGGCCGCUAAGGCAAUAUUGGAUGCUUUGGAAACCCUCCAUGAGGGUACCGAAGACGUGAAGCAAUCAAAAUCAAUAUUCUCAUCUAACAAUAUGAACUAUUCACAUGGAGGAUGGUGAAACCAUCUCCUCCAUGCAAAUGAGCUUCACUCAUAUUGUUAACAAACCGCAAUACUUAGGAAAAGACAUCUCAAACGAAGAUUGUACUAACAAGGUACUGAGAUGCAUGACUAGAGAUUGGCAGUCCUAGGUCGCCGCAAUAAAGGAAUCUCAACCUUAACACCCUUGGAAUCACCAUUCUUUUUGGCAAGCUGAAAGAUCAUGAACACGAGAUCCUAAGGUUGAAAGAAAAUGAGGAAGAUAUCAAGAAAAAGGGAAAUAAGACCACUGCAUUCAAAGCCUCGUCGUCCAAGGCUAAACACUUGGUGGAAUAGGAUAAUGAUACCGAUGAAGACCUCACUGACAUGAGGAGAUGGAAUUAUCUGUGCACCUAUACCAUAGAUACAUUGAAAAAAAUGGGUUGAAGCAUAGUAUCAAAAAUCUUAUAAACUUUAGUAGAGCUAUUCUCAAAUGAGCUAAAUUCGAGAAGGAACAUGUACCCAAUUUAGAUGGAUGUGGAAAAUCAGGCUUCUUGAAAAUGAAUGUCUGGACUUGACCAAAGCAAGUAGAAAGUCCAAGUUUAACAUCAAUGGAAAGAGAAAAAGGAAGGAAAGCUUAUAUUGCAUGGGAGGACAAUGAUAAUAGUGAAAUUGCCGACCUAUGUCUCAUGGGACAUAAGCAUCAUGAAGUAAUUUUUUCCGACUCCUGUAACACCCCGUUUCCCAAAAUUAAUUAAAUAAUAAUAAUUCAACAUCAGAGUAAAAUCCAAACGGGCAUGUCACAUCACAUUUUCAAAAUCACUUUAAAUAGAAUAUAAAAAUCUAUUUAAUUAAACAUCAUUCGAAUUUAUCAUUAAAUCUGCAGCGGAAUAUUCUCAUCAAACAACAAUUCAUAACUGUUUUAAACUCCAUAAUAAAUUCUUGGCAUGAAAGCCUUAACAUCAUAAAAUCCAACAUCAAUAGGGCUACAACAGCAAUAUUCUAAAUUUGAUACAUAGGAAAGAAAUUAAACGAUGAAAUCUCAUCCCACGUAUCAGAGCCCUAGACACUUUGAGCCAGCACCAACUACUCAGGAUCACCUGCAAGUUACCCAUAGGAAGGGCAACAUUUUCAAGCAGAAGGGGUGAGAUUCACAACAAUAAUAUAGAUAAAGAAUGCAUCAAUUGAAUCUAACACCCUAUCAUAAUAAUUCAUCAACAUUAUAUUAAUNNNNNNNNNNNNNNNNNNNNNNNNNNNNNNNNNNNNNNNNNNNNNNNNNNNNNNNNNNNNNNNNNNNNNNNNNNNNNNNNNNNNNNNNNNNNNNNNNNNNCUCAUGGGACAUAAGCAUCAUGAAGUAAUUUUUUCCGACUCCUGUAACACCCCGUUUCCCAAAAUUAAUUAAAUAAUAAUAAUUCAACAUCAGAGUAAAAUCCAAACGGGCAUGUCACAUCACAUUUUCAAAAUCACUUUAAAUAGAAUAUAAAAAUCUAUUUAAUUAAACAUCCUUCGAAUUUAUCAUUAAAUCUGCAGCGGAAUAUUCUCAUCAAACAACAAUUCAUAACUGUUUUAAACUCCAUAAUAAAUUCUUGGCAUGAAAGCCUUAACAUCAUAAAAUCCAACAUCAAUAGGGCUACAACAGCAAUAUUCUAAAUUUGAUACAUAGGAAAGAAAUUAAACGAUGAAAUCUCAUCCCACGUAUCAGAGCCCUAGACACUUUGAGCCAGCACCAACUACUCAGGAUCACCUGCAAGUUACCCAUAGGAAGGGCAACAUUUUCAAGCAGAAGGGGUGAGAUUCACAACAAUAAUAUAGAUAAAGAAUGCAUCAAUUGAAUCUAACACCCUAUCAUAAUAAUUCAUCAACAUUAUAUUAAUAUCAUCAUUUUCAAUGUCAUCAACAAAUGGUAAUUAAAAACCAACUCAACGAAUCAUGCAACUCAUCACCACUCCACUAAGACUCCUCUAACAACACCCAUGUAUGUGGUACCAUAAUCAGGACCGUAGCCCUCACCGCUGUAGAAUGGUUAAAGCAUUCAUUUUCAGGACAUAAGUCCUCACCACUAAACACCACUUUGAGCAACUAGUGCUCCACCACUUUGAACGACAAGGCGUUCCAGAGCCGAAGCUCUCCCACUGUUAUGCUUAUGCAGCUGACCCACUUGUGUAUAUCUACAUACAACCCAACCUAUGCAUAUAUAUGUAUAUGACUCACCACUCCAAAAUACAACAUUCAUGUAUGACUUAAUUAAAUGAAGCAUACAUUCCAGCCAGCAUCAAUUCAUUAUAACCAAUUUAGAACAUCCAGAAAAAUACACCAUUAUAAUAGCCAUGCUUAAUCAUCAAGAUAAAUCAACCAUCAACAACAUAAUCAAUCAAACAAAUACUGGGCAACUCGCCUCGCGAGCACAUAUGCUCGCUAUGGCGAGCUCAAAAAACAGGACACUCGCCAUGGCGAGUUCGAGGCGAACGAAAAUAUGGUGCUCUCGGGAGUUUUGACAUUUUUCUCACUAAAUCAUCAAUUCUAAGCUCCCUAUUCAUCUUUUUAAUCUAAAACUUGCUCCAGUCCUCUCUUAAAUCAUCUAGGUACAUAAAACUACCCAAAUUACGGCUUAUAACAACACUUUAAAAAUCCAGUUUUCCUCACAGGUACUCGCCAUGGCGAGCAAAGGCUACUCGCGAGGCGAGCGAUGAACUUUCUGUAGGGGCAGAAUGCAGGUUUUUCCCAAAAAUUCCAUUUUCCUCCAAUCCACUCCCCAAAUCAGUUUACAGAUAUGAAUGAAUGGUUAUAUGCACUCAGAACCCAUUUCUAACAUCAAUAAAGCAAUCCUUACUCUCAAAACCCAUUAAUCUAACAAAAACCUAGUUUCUCCCAAUUCUCUCAUAAACCUAUUAAAAUCAAAAUCAGAAUUCAGAACCUAUACAAUUGCGGUAAACCUCACCCUUACCUUAGAAUUGCAGAAAAAUAAGCACAUCAAUUGACAGACUUGGCUCUCCUUGCUCUUCUCUCCUUUUUCUCCCAAAACUUGAUUUUCACGUAAAAACGUUUUUCUGACUUUUCUCUUUUCUUAACUCCCAAAAAGUAACUUCCCUUUCUUUUCAUUAAACUCCCCUUAAUUCUAUUAAAUAUUAAUUAACUCCCCACACUCCAAAAUAAUAUUAAUUCUCACUUAUUCUAAUUAUUAUUAAAAUAAACUAUAUAAUAAAAUCUAACACACCAUAAAAUCCACAAAUAUUAUUUUAAAAUCAUAAAUAGACUCCACAUAAAUCCAAAAUAAUUAAAUUAAAGACUAGGGCGUUACAACUCCAAAUCCAAAUAUAAUCCUUCCCAUGAGAAAUUACAAGAAGCUCUAGUAGACAUGCAUGAUGAUGCUUUGAAAGCUUUUGAGAAAUUAAUUGUUUAAAAGAAAAAUAAUCUAAAACUGGAAGCCGAGCUUUCACCACGUAAAAAUAAUUUAAAAUGUUGAAAAGACGAGUAUGCAUCUCUAGUAAAUGAGAAAAUUCUAAUUCCUCACAUUGAGCCACCUAAAGCUAAUUCAUCCAAGUAUGAUUCAAAUUGGAUGGAUUUUUCAAGUUGUGAAACUUGUCCUAGUUUACACGAACAGAUUAAAUCUCUAACAUGUAAACAUGAACAAGCCUCCAAAUCCCCAUAGUUUUGCGUGAAUAAGAAAUCCGACGCGGGGGCUGGUAAAGAGAACUUCUCCUUGUCUCCCACUACUCAGAUCUAAACUUAUCCCUUACGAAUCAAAGAGAAAUUGAACCAACAAUAUUUACUAGUGAUUAGAGUAUGGACUUCAUUUUUCUAAAUAUCAAGACAGUUGAAUUGACAAGUUUCGGAGGUUAACGAGCUUCGAAAUUCGUAAAUCAAUNNNNNNNNNNNNNNNNNNNNNNNNNNNNNNNNNNNNNNNNNNNNNNNNNNNNNNNNNNNNNNNNNNNNNNNNNNNNNNNNNNNNNNNNNNNNNNNNNNNNCUUCCUUGGAAAUGCGGAAAAUUAGCACAUCAAUUGACAGACUUGCCUCUCCUUCUCUUCUCUCCUUUUCUCCCAAAACCUGAUUUUACGUAAAAACUUUUUCUGACUUUCUCUUUUCUUAACUCCCAAAAAGUAACUUCCCUUUUUUUCAUUAAACUCCCCUUAAUUCUAUUAAAUAUUAAUUAACUCCCCACACUCCAAAAUAAUAUUAAUUCUCACUUAUUCUAAUUAUUAUUAAAAUAAACUAUAUAAUAAAAUCUAACACACCAUAAAAUCCACAAAUAUUAUUUUAAAAUCAUAAAUAGACUCCACAUAAAUCCAAAAUAAUUAAAUUAAAGACUAGGGCGUUACAACUCCAAAUCCAAAUAUAAUCCUUCCUAUGAGAAAUUACAAGAAGCUCUAGUAGACAUGCAUGAUGAUGCUUUGAAAGCUUUUGAGAAAUUAAUUGUUUAAAAGAAAAAUAAUCUAAAACUGGAAGCCGAGCUUUCACCACGUAAAAAUAAUUUAAAAUGUUGAAAAGACGAGUAUGCAUCUCUAGUAAAUGAGAAAAUUCUAAUUCCUCACAUUGAGCCACCUAAAGCUAAUUCAUCCAAGUAUGAUUCAAAUUGGAUGGAUUUUUCAAGUUGUGAAACUUGUCCUAGUUUACACGAACAGAUUAAAUCUCUAACAUGUAAACAUGAACAAGCCUCCAAAUCCCCAUAGUUUUGCGUGAAUAAGAAAUCCGACGCGGGGGCUGGUAAAGAGAACUUCUCCUUGUCUCCCACUACUCAGAUCUAAACUUAUCCCUUACGAAUCAAAGAGAAAUUGAACCAACAAUAUUUACUAGUGAUUAGGUUAUGGUUUUCAUUUUUCAAGAGUCAAGACAUUUGAUUGUUGAAUUUGAUUAUGAUGGAUAAAAGGAUUUUAAUGAUGAACUAUUUUUUUUAGUCAAUCUUAGUUGAAAGGAUAAGAGUCAUCUUAGUUGAAAAUAUGGUGUCAAUCUUAGUUGUGGGUUUCUCUUAGUCAAUUACGAUCAUCCAACUCAUUGUACGCUCUAUAACGCACUAGUUGUUAUUUUAAUUAUUUCUGAUUUAUUUAGAGUCUUUUAUAUGAUUUUAAAUAAUUAUUGUUGAUUAUGUGGUGUGUUAUAUUUUAUUAAAUGAUUUAUUUUUAGUAUUUAUUAGAAUAAUAUGAGAAAUAGAAUUAUUUGGAAUUCUAGGGGUUAUAUUUUAAUUAAGGGAAUUAAGCGGAAGUUAAUUAGAAUUAAGAGGGAGUUAAGUAAGGAGUUGGAGAAGUCAGAAAAACAGUUUUACGUACAAGCAGUUUUUGGGAGAAAAGGCUAGGAGAAGAGAAACCAAGAGGAGAGAACAAGAAUUCUGUAGAGCUUUGUUCUUCGAUUAAGGUAAGGGUGAGGUUUACUCUCAAUAGUAUAGAUUAAAGUUCUGAUUUUGAUUUUAACAUGAGGGUUUUGGUUAAUUUGGGAAUUGGGUUUAUAUUUUGAUUCUUUGAUUUUUGGAUGAAAUGAGUGUAGAAACCACUGUAUUAGUGUUAGAAUGCAUUCAGGAGGGUUGUCUCUUGUUCAUUGGAGGAGUCAAUAUACAUGGGAAGCUCUUUAUCAUAAUGAGAACUUGGGGUCUAUUUCCUUAGAGGUGGAUGAGACUGAUGUAGGAGGGUUUUCUUAGUAAUUUAUUAGUAUUUAUUAAUUCAGCCUAAUUUUAUUAUUUGUUUGUUUUAUUUUAUGUUUGUUAUUUUUGGCCCUUUAAGGUUUGUUAUUUCCCUAGUUAAGCUUUACAGAUGUAGCCUAAGAGGCAACUUUUUAUUCAAUAUUAUUUCAGAGAGCUUUUCUCAAUUUUUGGUGGUUUCCAGAACCUUUAUUUCAUAAGUUUGUCGAAUGCAAACUUGUCUUUUUUCAAUCUAGGUUUAAAGCUUGCUAGCCUACGCUUCUGUACUGCAUCACAUCCACAUUGGUUUUGAUCCAAGAGAGGGAGAAGGUGGAGUUUGUAAAACCUCUAAGAGGGUAUGACUCAUAGCACUCUUGGCUGUAGUCUAGAAAAUUGAGUUACUUUGAAAUCGUGCAUGGAGUCAUUGCCAUGACCUUUAAUUAGCUUGUAGUUGAAGUUAUUUUCUGAUAUUAUCCUAUCUAUCAGACUUUUCAUGUGAUCUUUGAAGCACCUCUUGUUUCUUUCAAUCCAAACGAGUCAAACUAUAUGCAACUUGGCAGAAAUGAUUAUAAAAUUUGGGGCCUAACUCAUAUGUACAAAACUAGUUUGUAAGGUGAGAGGUGCUUCCUCUUAAUAAACACUUCUUAACAGUCCUAUCUAUCCAAUGUGGGACAAAAUCCAGCCCCUCAAAGCCAACACAAUGAAGGUGUUAGAGGCUGUAAUGAAGGCAAACCAAAGGUCGCAAUUUAGGCGACUAGGGGCGGACCGUAAUAAAGGUGGAAUUUCCAAGACACCCCGUCACGCUUCAGCCUAGCCCAAUGGGCCUAAAGCGUGGAUGAUAUGGGAUACCCAACAAAAGAUCUAGGAUAGGCUCUGAUACUAUGUCGAAAUUUAGGGUCUAACUCAUUCUUACAAAACCGACUUGUAAGGUGAGGAGUGUCUCGUAUGGUUAUUUUGCAUAUUAUUGAGAAAAUGUAUUUGAUUCGAUGCUGGAAAAAUAAACGUCCAAGUUUUAACUUCAUAUCCACAUGAAAAAACUACAAUAUUAUUUAUCGUACGUAUGAUACAGUCCUAUCAAAUUGGAAUGUAAGCACGGACCGGUGAAUACAAGGGUAUUAUUUUAUUUUAUUUUGGGGGGGCGGGGGGAGGUGGGACCAAUAAGAGGGGCCGAUAGAACUAGUUUGUUGUUGUGGUAUAAAACUUACAUUGGCCCAAGUCCAUUAACCUAAACCUAAUUUCAUCUUCUCUCUCGGUGGAAAUUGCAUAUAAAAGUGGCCGCAUCCACAAUAUAUUUCUCCCCAAUUUCUUCUUCUUCCUUAUUUUUCCUUUGUUUUAUGUUUACCAGUUUUUUCGCGAUUCUUCAUACUGUUUGUUUUUCUGUUCACGUGUUCUCAUAUAUACUUUAUUUAUUAAAUCAAAUUUUCAAUAUCUCAGUGCCUCUUAAAUUCCAUUAGAGAUUGAUCCUUGAUUCAUCUGAAAAGUUCAGAAAUUAAUCUAGUUGUCAAACUGUGUGCUUUAAAUUUGAUUUACAACUAAUUUGUAACGACAAUACCAAUCAAUAGAAUUAUCAAUCUAAUAGUUUGACCAUUUCUUCUACAUGUUUUGUUUUUUCUCAAAAUUGUUCAGAUUUACAGAUCCAGUUUGAUCAUUGCAAUAAUGGAUGAAGGUCAAUCUGCAGAUGGGAAUGAAGAUAUUCAUCAAAUAAAAUUGUCAAAAACCUCCAAAUCAAAUCGACGAAAUACCAAAAGUAUCCAAAAAUAAUAUGUAUUUUUUUUUGAAAAGAUCCAUAAAUAUUAAAUUGUUAUCCAUUUAAUUGUUAAAUAUUCAAUAUUUAAAUGGUGGCUAACAUUCAUUUGUACAUUACAAAAUUUGAAUGAGCUUUUUUUUUUUUUUUUUUUUUUAAUUUUCAAUUCAAACUGCCAAAGAUGAUAACCAUGCUUUGGUCACUAUUCAAGACUCUAAAGGCUUGUUUGAUCUCAUAAUCAGUAAGUUUCAUAUAUUUGAAAUGAAUGUAUUUGAAUUCCAAAAGAAAAUUCAAGAUGAAUUUCAACUUCCUGAUAUAGGUUAGUAUCAUUUUUCCCUUCCAACUAAAUAUUAAGUCUAAUUUUUAGUCAUUAAAUAUACCUUGCAAUUUUUUAUUUUUUAUGUUUUCAAUACUCUAUAUUAAUAUUAUGCAGUAGUUUCACUAUAGUAUAAGUUAUGAUAUAUUUAAAUAUAUGACAUUUUACCUUUUGUUUCAAAUAGUGAUGUCUAAAGACAAUACAUGUACCAGACAUUAUCUCCAUGACUUUAGAACUUGGAGCAGCACGCUAUAUUGUUAACGCAUUUUGUGCUGAAAACUUUAGAGACAUUUGGAAGUAUGCAUUGGAAGCAAAGAAAAAUAAACUAUUUAUUG